UGUGCUUGGCGCUCGAUGGAAACGCUUACAGCUCGAAUCUAUCUGCUGUGCUGAGUUCGCCACUUAAGGUGAAGAUCGUACAGCUGAUUUGCUCGCGAUCGCGGUUCCCAUAUCUACUCGAUUGUGACGGUACUGUUGCGGGUUAUUCAGAACAAAUAGAUACUAUUUGCUGCCAUUAUAGUCGCGGCUUAUUGUGAUUCUUGAUAACAAUAGAAAGGAGUGUCGCGUAUGUGCAUUAUCUGGUGCAAUAAACCGGCGAAGAUGACCGCUAUCUCUCAAAGGUUCUUGGCCGCUCCGCGUUCAAAGUAUCUAAAUUAUUCAGAGUAUCUUUCGGCCACUAACCGGCGUUCCGUGGUUCUUAAGUGCUCUCGACAGUAGCAAAAACUCGUUUCCGCAGUACAGCAUGCUUGCUAAAGACGAGGGUCUAUCACUGAUCGAUCAUCACCAAUGACGUCACAAAGUAUCUGUGUUCUGCAUACUCAUUGCUUUCCCCAUAUGUGUAUUACGUUCAGAUCGUCACUCGGCACGUCGAAUGAGCGUUAAAGUUUCGCGUUUAUUAUCGCCUUUAAUGUAUCUACGAACAAGCACGGUUGCUUUAAAGAAUGCCAAAGGCUGUAUGGAUUCGAAAUCAAUUUUUCCGUAGAUUGUUGUGAGUUUGUUUACUCAUUUAUGCGUCGUCUGUGACUACUUUAUCAUUCUUAUCUGCCAAGUGAUUAAGUAAGUUCGGGCCCGGCUUUUUGACAAAUUUCUUCAGAUACUUUUAUGUGUUAAAAGCUGAAUGAUUAUAGUGAAAUGUAAUUCUUUGCGACAGGUUCAUGGAAUCUUCAGUUGUUCUCAGCCAUUCAGUGCUAAAUGUUGUAUGCGAAAUUCGAUCAGUUGGGAAUGUGGAUUUGUGAAUUCGGGAAAUUAAAAGGAAUGGAAAUUGUGUGAAAACUGCACAUGACGCGUUUGUGCUGAAAUUUCCACAUGAAUUUUGAUUUUAAUUAAUGAAGCAUCUAAAUUGGCCGCGGCUAGUGAGUGUGAACGGUUUAAUCUAUCUUGACCGCGGAAAGUGUUCGAUUUACUUUUAAAUUAAGGUCCUACAUAGACGGCCUUUUUUCAGUGCGAGAUUGGCUACAUACUCGAUUGUGAAGGUGCCUCCAAAGGCCCACAUAUUUUCUGCUGUAAUAAAUCACCGAAAUUAGUUUUGUCCAGCGCUCUCCUGUUUGAGAUAAAUAUUUGAGCUGCGAGGCCAUCUCGGUUGCAAGUCUUGGUUGUCAUCUCUACGCGCAGGAGGUGCCCUUCCUCCCAGCCCAUACAUAUCAACGUCAUAUCAUUUCGUUUCGCCGCUGGGUUCAGCCAAACCCAAAUAAAAAACCCACGGAAAAUACUCAAUGUUCAUGUAGCAUUUAUCAGAGGAACUCCAACUGCAUACUCAUAUAUAUUUAUUAAAUUGCAGUAUUCCAUCUAAAUUCACGCGAAACAAGCACCAUCGGCGCAAAUACAGCUAAGAUAACGAUUAUCUCCAGAAGCCUAGAAGUGAUAAAGGAAAGCUCAAUUUCACUGCAUUUCUCCUCUGGCCAAUUAUUUAAAUAGGCAAUUGUAGAAAAAAAAAA
Hermetia illucens (black soldier fly) is the source of this 1595-nucleotide long non-coding RNA. RefSeq lists it as uncharacterized. The transcript has 2 exons. The record is from RefSeq and is a predicted model, not a curated record. NCBI's taxonomy places the organism in Eukaryota, Metazoa, Arthropoda, Insecta, Diptera, Stratiomyidae.